GAUGAACGCUGGCGGCGUGCCUAAUACAUGCAAGUCGAGCGAACAGACGAGGAGCUUGCUCCUCUGACGUUAGCGGCGGACGGGUGAGUAACACGUGGAUAACCUACCUAUAAGACUGGGAUAACUUCGGGAAACCGGAGCUAAUACCGGAUAAUAUAUUGAACCGCAUGGUUCAAUAGUGAAAGACGGUUUUGCUGUCACUUAUAGAUGGAUCCGCGCCGCAUUAGCUAGUUGGUAAGGUAACGGCUUACCAAGGCAACGAUGCGUAGCCGACCUGAGAGGGUGAUCGGCCACGCUGGAACUGAGACACGGUCCAGACUCCUACGGGAGGCAGCAGUAGGGAAUCUUCCGCAAUGGGCGAAAGCCUGACGGAGCAACGCCGCGUGAGUGAUGAAGGUCUUCGGAUCGUAAAACUCUGUUAUUAGGGAAGAACAAAUGUGUAAGUAACUAUGCACGUCUUGACGGUACCUAAUCAGAAAGCCACGGCUAACUACGUGC
This 498-nucleotide ribosomal RNA is filed under the name uncultured bacterium. Its description in RNAcentral is "partial 16S ribosomal RNA". It matches the Rfam family "Bacterial small subunit ribosomal RNA", at positions 28 to 508 of the family's 1533-position model. The record is from RNAcentral.